Molecule: ribosomal RNA, 465 nt
Filed under: uncultured bacterium
Lineage: Bacteria
Description: bacterial SSU rRNA
Rfam family: Bacterial small subunit ribosomal RNA
Source: RNAcentral
AUUGAACGCUGGCGGCAUGCCUUACACAUGCAAGUCGAACGGCAGCGGACCUUCGGGUGCCGGCGAGUGGCGAACGGGUGAGUAAUAUAUCGGAACGUACCUUUCAGUGGGGGAUAACGUAGCGAAAGUUACGCUAAUACCGCAUAUUCUGUGAGCAGGAAAGCAGGGGAUCGCAAGACCUUGCGCUGAUUGAGCGGCCGAUAUCAGAUUAGCUAGUUGGUGAGGUAAAGGCUCACCAAGGCGACGAUCUGUAGCGGGUCUGAGAGGAUGAUCCGCCACACUGGAACUGAGACACGGUCCAGACUCCUACGGGAGGCAGCAGUGGGGAAUUUUGGACAAUGGGCGCAAGCCUGAUCCAGCCAUGCCGCGUGAGUGAAGAAGGCCUGGUGUAAGACUCUUCGUCCGGGACGAAUACGCACAGGUUAAUACCCUAGUGUGGAUGACGGUACCGGAACGUAAGAAGAC